UACGUAGGGUGCGAGCGUUGUCCGGAAUUACUGGGCGUAAAGAGCUCGUAGGUGGUUUGUCGCGUUGUUCGUGAAAACCGGGGGCUUAACCCUCGGCGUGCGGGCGAUACGGGCAGACUUGAGUACUGCAGGGGGAGACUGGAAUUCCUGGUGUAGCGGUGGAAUGCGCAGAUAUCAGGAGGAACACCGGUGGCGAAGGCGGGUCUCUGGGCAGUAACUGACGCUGAGGAGCGAAAGCGUGGGGAGCGAACAGG
RNAcentral lists this ribosomal RNA (254 nucleotides) under uncultured bacterium. Its description in RNAcentral is "partial 16S ribosomal RNA". It matches the Rfam family "Bacterial small subunit ribosomal RNA", at positions 524 to 776 of the family's 1533-position model. The record is from RNAcentral.